UACGAAGGGGGCUAGCGUUUUUAGGAGUCACUGGGCGUGAAGCGCACGUAGGCGGACUUGUUAGUCAGGGGUGAAAUCCCAGGGCUCAACCCUGGAACUGCCUUUGAUACUGCAAUUCUCGAGUCCGGAAGAGGUGAGUGGAACUCCUAGUGGAGAGGUGAAAUUCGUAGAUAUUAGGAAGAACACCAGUGGCGAAGGUGGCUCACUGGUCCGUAGCUGACGCUGUGGUACGAAUGCCUAGAGAGCAUACAGG
This 253-nucleotide ribosomal RNA is filed under the name uncultured bacterium. RNAcentral's name for it is "partial 16S ribosomal RNA". It matches the Rfam family "Bacterial small subunit ribosomal RNA", at positions 524 to 776 of the family's 1533-position model. The record is from RNAcentral.